CCUANGGGGGGCUGCAGUGGGGAAUCUUGCGCAAUGGGCGAAAGCCUGACGCAGCAACGCCGCGUGCGGGAUGAAGGCUCUCGGGUCGUAAACCGCUUUCAGCAGGGAUGAAAUUGACAGUACCUGCAGAAGAAGCCCCGGCUAAAUACGUGCCAGCAGCCGCGGUAAUACGUAUGGGGCAAGCGUUAUCCGGAUUCAUUGGGCGUAAAGAGCGCGUAGGCGGAUCGUUAAGUCAGAUGUGAAAACCGGGGGCUCAACCCGCGGCCUGCAUCUGAAACUGGCGGUCUUGAGUCUGGUAGAGGAAAGUGGAAUUCCCAGUGUAGCGGUGAAAUGCGCAGAUAUUGGGAGGAACACCAGUGGCGAAGGCGGCUUUCUGGGCCACGACUGACGCUGAGGCGCGAAAGCUAGGGGAGCAAACAGGAUUAGAUACCCCANUANUC
Molecule: ribosomal RNA, 440 nt
Filed under: uncultured bacterium
Lineage: Bacteria
Description: bacterial SSU rRNA
Rfam family: Bacterial small subunit ribosomal RNA
Source: RNAcentral